Molecule: transfer RNA, 37 nt
Filed under: Tinospora cordifolia
Lineage: Eukaryota; Viridiplantae; Streptophyta; Magnoliopsida; Ranunculales; Menispermaceae
Description: partial tRNA-His
Source: RNAcentral
GGCGGAUGUAGCCAAGUGGAUUAAGGCAGUGGAUUUG